GUACCUACCUAGUGCUACCAACCCCUAUUUCUGUAGGGAAAUGAGAGCAGAGCAGGCAGUAACCCUUCCAUCCAUCAUUCUGUACCUAUAAACCUGACCCAGACAUUACUGCCCCCCAUUAGUGUAUAAUGGCUACUGGGGUAGAAAGAGAUGAGUAUCUGAUGAAAUCUGUGCACAAGAUGAAUCCCUGAAUGCACAACAUAACAUAUUAAACUGUAUUACCUGCUCAUAUUAUGUUGUUGCAGACAACCCAGAGAACAGAUGGGUCAACAACUAUGAUGAGCCUCUUCAUUUCGAGUGUCCCAAUCAUCAGAGCAUCAGCUUAAUUAUCAGCAACCAUGAUAAUAAGAGGGAGGAUCGAGUUUGGGAUUUCAGCUGCAAGGCCACAUUCAGCGAGCAAAGGUUCUGCUAUUGGACCGGAUACGUCAAUGACUUUGACCAAGAGUUUACCUUCACCUGCGCGUCGGGUUCUGUUCUGACCGGAAUGGACAGUAUCAUGAUAACAAGAGGGAGGACAGAAGGUGGCAGUUUCUCUGUUGCCAGGGGGAGGUGCCAGUUGAUCGCUUGUGCACGUGGAGUGGAUAUGUCAAUUAAUUCAAUGAGUAUUUGAGGUGGGACGCAGACCCUGAUUAUUACCUGGUGGGAGUAUCCAGUUACCAUGACAACUACAGAGAGUAAGUAUAAUUGAACUUUCCCCCCUACCCCCUGAAAACAGUUUGUAACACUAUA
Xenopus tropicalis (tropical clawed frog) is the source of this 729-nucleotide long non-coding RNA. RefSeq lists it as uncharacterized. The record is from RefSeq and is a predicted model, not a curated record. Lineage: Eukaryota; Metazoa; Chordata; Amphibia; Anura; Pipidae. The transcript has 3 exons.